UGUCUCAGUACAAGCCGAAUUAAGGUGAAACCGCGAAAGGCUCAUUAAAAUCCAGUUAUGGUUCCUUAGAUCGUACCCACAUUUACUUGGAUAACUGUGGUAAUUCUAGAGCUAAUACAUGCAAACAGAGCUCCGACCGGAAACGGAAGGAGCGCUUUUAUUAGAUCAAAACCGAUCGGUGGCGGUCUCCCGUCAUCGUACAACUUGGUGACUCUGAAUAACUUUACGCUGAUCGCACGGUCUCGCACCGGCGACGCAUCUUUCAAAUGUCUGCCUUAUCAACUGUCGAUGGUAGGUUCUGCGCCUACCAUGGUUGUAACGGGUAACGGGGAAUCAGGGUUCGAUUCCGGAGAGGGAGCCUGAGAAACGGCUACCACAUCCAAGGAAGGCAGCAGGCGCGCAAAUUACCCACUCCCGGCACGGGGAGGUAGUGACGAAAAAUAACGAUACGGGACUCAUCCGAGGCCCCGUAAUCGGAAUGAGUACACUCUAAACCCUUUAACGAGGAUCAAUUGGAGGGCAAGUCUGGUGCCAGCAGCCGCGGUAAUUCCAGCUCCAAUAGCGUAUAUUAAAGUUGUUGCGGUUAAAAAGCUCGUAGUCGAAUCUGUGUCCCGCGCCGCCGGUUCAUCGUUCGCGGUGUUAACUGGCGUGUCGCGGGACGUCCUGCCGGUGGGCUUAGCUCGCGAGGGCGGCCCAACUCAAUCCCGCCGCGGUGCUCUUCAUUGAGUGUCGAGGUGGGCCGGCACGUUUACUUUGAACAAAUUAGAGUGCUUAAAGCAGGCUAAAACUUCGCCUGAAUACUGUGUGCUCAACUGUUGAAUAAUGGAAUAGGACCUCGGUUCUA
This 844-nucleotide ribosomal RNA is filed under the name Oectosis sp. COL1286. RNAcentral describes it as "SSU rRNA". It matches the Rfam family "Eukaryotic small subunit ribosomal RNA", at positions 56 to 838 of the family's 1831-position model. The record is from RNAcentral. Lineage: Eukaryota; Metazoa; Arthropoda; Insecta; Coleoptera; Tenebrionidae.